This is a non-coding RNA of Anopheles merus, 101 nucleotides long. NCBI's taxonomy places the organism in Eukaryota, Metazoa, Arthropoda, Insecta, Diptera, Culicidae. The record is from Rfam.
AAACAUAUUACGUUUCUAGCUGAUUGGAGCUGGCAAUCUGUUCUAGAGCGCCUUUUCCAUUUGCAAGAUGACCCUAUACGAGGCAUUUGUCUGAUAUAACA